GAUUAUAUAUUUUAAAAACCUGAGGAUUGAUUAUAAAAAACGUUUGACAUAUUUCUGUGGAUAUUACAGAUACUCUUUGGAAUUUGUCUGCAUUGUCAUGACCGCUCUUUCCUGUGGAUUUCUGAACAUAACGCGCCAAACAAACAGGUAUUUUGGAUAUAAAAAUAACCUUAAUGGAACAAAAGGAACAUUUGUUGUGUUACUGGGAGUCUCGUGAGUGAAAACAUCCUAAGAUCAAAGAUCACAGCCAUGUCAACAGUGGGCGUCAGGCUUGUAAGAGACAUGUGAGAUAUCUGUGAGAUUCAGUGAACAAGGCUGGAAGGCUCUGGGCCAGUGAACUGCUGAGUGGUGGGCGUAGAGAAGGAGGCAGCCUCCGACCACGCUGAAGAGGAGAGAAGCCCGUCCAGCCCCAUGUGGAGAGUGGCGUACACCACUGAGACAUCAGUCUGCUGCUCAAAACACACACAACACACCUGUUUACCACACACACGUUAUUAGAAAACACACCAAAUCUAAUAUAAAAAUGCCCAGUAAUGUCUAGUCUAUUUACAUAGGAAAUUGUUUAUUUACCUGGUAGCAGCUAAGCAUCACGUCCACAGACGUCUCGUGGCGGAGGUGAGACGCAUAGUGGGUCACCCUGCCAGCAACACACUGACAGAGAGAGAAUACAUGUUAAGGCCAAAUGGAAAAAGUGAAGAAAAGCCUAAUCUAAUACUAUUUCAGUAGUAUUUACGUCUUACCUGGAUCCAAGUGAUGGACUGCACUUUGGUGGCACAGUAGGGGAUGCCCUCUGGACUAAGCCUGGCUGUCUCCUUGGAGAUGGCCCACACCAGUUGAGUCUCCAGGACUCUCACCCUAAUCACGUGGUGAAUCCUAACCACCGCCUGCUGUUGAGAUAAACAACAAGACAACAUCAACAAAACCACUUCAGCAAUGGCUGUGACACAUUUCCAUCAAGAUCAAAUGACUGACAAUGUAGAUUAGGAUUAGGUAGUUACAAAGACACAUACAUGGGAUCCCCCACGCAUGUAGGUGAUGAUGGGGCUGAUGAACUGGAGAGUUCUCCAAGCUUUAACCACCGGACCGGCAUUGUUCUGCACAUUACAAUACAUUCAUGUUGUAAACAUUGUAACCGUGAUGUGACUGUGUGUGUGUGUGUGUGGGGGGGGGGGUGUUCAUUUUUGUGUCCGUACUCUGAGGUGUGUUUGAAUAUGAAUGAGCAGCAGUGUUGUGAUGUGUCCUAUCCCGUCCUUCCAGAGGGAUCUUUCUUGGCCUCAUCACGUCUCAGUGGCUGGGUGUUUGGAGGGAGGGGGACACCACCACGGGACAGACCCCACAGUCAUCGCUAGAGAUCGAACUUCAGACUCCCUCCAAAACCACUGAACCCCUCAACACACAAAGAGAUUACGGUGCACACCCUUAGAGGAAGUCGGAACAGGAUAACUCCCUCCAAACUCACAAAGACACAGAGGAGGAGGAACUAUCCAACACCCAGUGAGAGAGAACAAGUCAGAAAGAGAAGGUGGAAGAGGCGUUAGAUAGAGGAGGAGGUUACCCCAGAGGCCAUUCCUCCUGUUCAUGUGAGCAAGAAAGAGCAGAAUGCUUCUGAUCAGCCAAAUGGCAGGUAGAGGGAGAGGUCAUAGUGAUUCACACCCAGAGAGAAAGAAAACCCACACAAUCUCUUGGAUGUGAUGAACCACACAGAGGUAGAGGCAGAGGGCCUUCAGGGAUAGCCAGUCAGCCUGCCUGCUCUGAUCCUCAAGUCAAUUGUAUUUAAAUUCAUGUUCAUUGAAGAUUUUUAUUCAAGAAUUGACAAGUCCCAUUUAUUUAAUGAUCAUUUUUCACUGUCUUCAACCCUCAAGAACCAGGGUGAGUCUGGGUCACCCUUUUCCUGGGCAAACACAACUUGCAUAUCAUCAUAGACUCGGCCGAAAUGUUAAACUUUUAACCUUGCCUGAAUAAAGCAAUGCAUUUUUUUUUAUAGUGAGCAAGAGUUGCGCUAUUUCCUUUUCUAUGAUGAUUCAAAUUUUUGGUUGCACCUCAAC
Molecule: long non-coding RNA, 2045 nt
Organism: Oncorhynchus masou masou (cherry salmon)
Lineage: Eukaryota; Metazoa; Chordata; Actinopteri; Salmoniformes; Salmonidae
Exons: 3
Source: RefSeq, a predicted model, not a curated record